This 492-nucleotide ribosomal RNA is filed under the name uncultured bacterium. RNAcentral's name for it is "partial 16S ribosomal RNA". It matches the Rfam family "Bacterial small subunit ribosomal RNA", at positions 28 to 507 of the family's 1533-position model. The record is from RNAcentral.
GAUGAACGCUAGCUACAGGCUUAACACAUGCAAGUCGAGGGGAAACGGCAUUGUGUGUUUGCACUCUUUGGACGUCGACCGGCGCACGGGUGAGUAACGCGUAUCCAACCUUCCCAUUACUGUGGGAAAACCUGCCGAAAGGCAGACUAAUACCGCAUAGUCUUCGAUGACGGCAUCAGAUUUGAAGAAAAGAUUUAUCGGUAAUGGAUGGGGAUGCGUCUGAUUAGCUUGUUGGCGGGGUAACGGCCCACCAAGGCUACGAUCAGUAGGGGUUCUGAGAGGAAGGUCCCCCACAUUGGAACUGAGACACGGACCAAACUCCUACGGGAGGCAGCAGUGAGGAAUAUUGGUCAAUGGACGGAAGUCUGAACCAGCCAAGUAGCGUGCAGGAUGACUGCCCUAUGGGUUGUAAACUGCUUUUGUAUGGGGAUAAAGUUAGGGACGUGUCCCUAUUUGCAGGUACCAUACGAAUAAGGACCGGCUAAUUCCGUG